GGGAAGUACGUCCUGCCCGGUGAAUUACGGUUUUAACGGCCGCGGUACUUUGACCGUGCAAAGGUAGCAUAAUCAUUUGCCUUUUAAUUGGAGGCUGGUAUGAAUGGAUAAACGAGGGGCUUAUUGUCUCAUUAUUAUUUGUAAAAAUUAACCUUCAAGUGAAGAUGCUUGAAUUUUUCUAAAAGACAAGAAGACCCUAUUGAGUUUUAUUUUAAUUUUAUGGGCAUCACUAGUUGAGUAAUAUGGUGGUGACAUUAAUUUAAAUUUAGUUGGGGCGACUAGGGAAUAAGAAAAGCUUCCUUAAUUAAUAAGAUAAUAUGUCUUUUUAGUGACCCAUUAAUAAUGAUCAAAAGACGGAACUACCAUAGGGGUAACAGGCUAAUUUCCUUAGAGAGACCAUAUUGACUAGGAAGAUUGGCACCUCGAUGUUGGCUUAAGAUGACCUUUGGGUGUAGAAGCUUAAAAGGGUUGGUUUGUUCAACCAUUAAA
RNAcentral lists this ribosomal RNA (489 nucleotides) under Amphiduropsis cf. axialensis GWR-2018. RNAcentral's name for it is "partial small subunit ribosomal RNA". It matches the Rfam family "Bacterial large subunit ribosomal RNA", at positions 1847 to 2592 of the family's 2925-position model. The record is from RNAcentral. Lineage: Eukaryota; Metazoa; Annelida; Polychaeta; Phyllodocida; Hesionidae.